RNAcentral lists this ribosomal RNA (180 nucleotides) under Myrothecium gramineum. Its description in RNAcentral is "5.8S ribosomal RNA". The stretch from base 43 to 180 matches the Rfam family "5.8S ribosomal RNA", at positions 1 to 138 of the family's 154-position model. Rfam says of the family: 5.8S ribosomal RNA (5.8S rRNA) is a component of the large subunit of the eukaryotic ribosome. It is transcribed by RNA polymerase I as part of the 45S precursor that also contains 18S and 28S rRNA. Functionally, it is thought that 5.8S rRNA may be involved in ribosome translocation. The record is from RNAcentral. Lineage: Eukaryota; Fungi; Ascomycota; Sordariomycetes; Hypocreales; Stachybotryaceae.
UCAUGCAGUAUUUCUGAGUGGCAAACGCAAAAAAUAAAUCAAAACUUUUAACAACGGAUCUCUUGGCUCUGGCAUCGAUGAAGAACGCAGCGAAAUGCGAUAAGUAAUGUGAAUUGCAGAAUUCAGUGAAUCAUCGAAUCUUUGAACGCACAUUGCGCCCGCGAGUAUUCUCGCGGGCAU